RNAcentral lists this ribosomal RNA (422 nucleotides) under Streptococcus sp. oral taxon H21. Its description in RNAcentral is "bacterial SSU rRNA". It matches the Rfam family "Bacterial small subunit ribosomal RNA", at positions 28 to 432 of the family's 1533-position model. Lineage: Bacteria; Bacillati; Bacillota; Bacilli; Lactobacillales; Streptococcaceae. The record is from RNAcentral.
GACGAACGCUGGCGGCGUGCCUAAUACAUGCAAGUAGAACGCACAGUUUAUACCGUAGCUUGCUACACCAUAAACUGUGAGUUGCGAACGGGUGAGUAACGCGUAGGUAACCUGCCUGGUAGCGGGGGAUAACUAUUGGAAACGAUAGCUAAUACCGCAUAAUAUUGAUUAUUGCAUGAUGAUUGAUUGAAAGAUGCUAUUGCAUCACUACCAGAUGGACCUGCGUUGUAUUAGCUAGUAGGUGAGGUAACGGCUCACCUAGGCGACGAUACAUAGCCGACCUGAGAGGGUGAUCGGCCACACUGGGACUGAGACACGGCCCAGGCUCCUACGGGAGGCAGCAGUAGGGAAUCUUCGGCGAUGGACGGGAGUCUGACCGGGCGGCGCCGCGUGAGUGGAGAAGGUUUUCGGAUCGUAAAGCC